GAUGAACGCUGGCGGCGUGCCUAACACAUGCAGGUCGAGCGAUUUACUUCGGUAAAGAGCGGCGGACGGGUGAGUAACGCGUGGGUAACCUGCCCUGUACACACGGAUAACAUACUGAAAGGUAUGCUAAUACGGGAUAACAUAAGAGAGUCGCAUGGCUUUCUUAUCAAAGCUUUUGCGGUACAGGAUGGACCCGCGUCUGAUUGGCUAGUUGGUAAGGUAACGGCUUACCAAGGCGACGAUCAGUAGCCGACCUGAAAGGGUGAUCGGCCACAUUGGAACUGAGACACGGUCCAAACUCCUACGGGAGGCAGAAGUGGGGAAUAUUGCACGAUGGGCGAAAGCCUGAUGCAGCAACGCCGCGUGAGCGAUGAAGGCCUUCGGGUCGUAAAGCUCUGUCCUCAAGGAAGAUAAUGACGGUACUUGAGGAGGAAGCCCCGGCUAACUACGUGCCAGCCGCCGCGGUAA
This 468-nucleotide ribosomal RNA is filed under the name uncultured bacterium. RNAcentral's name for it is "partial 16S ribosomal RNA". It matches the Rfam family "Bacterial small subunit ribosomal RNA", at positions 28 to 523 of the family's 1533-position model. The record is from RNAcentral.